UUAAUUUAUUAUUCACCUUCCAAACCACUGUCUCAAAGCAAUUUACCCAUCUGGUAAAUUGCUUUGAGACAGUGGUUUGGAAGGUGAUUAAUAAAUUGA
This is a non-coding RNA of Podarcis lilfordi (Lilford's wall lizard), 99 nucleotides long. The record is from the annotation of a GenBank genome assembly. NCBI's taxonomy places the organism in Eukaryota, Metazoa, Chordata, Lepidosauria, Squamata, Lacertidae.